This 143-nucleotide microRNA precursor is filed under the name Manihot esculenta (cassava). Its description in RNAcentral is "mir-166 microRNA precursor family". It matches the Rfam family "mir-166 microRNA precursor family". Rfam says of the family: This family represents the plant microRNA (miRNA) precursor mir-166. Animal miRNAs are transcribed as ~70nt precursors and subsequently processed by the Dicer enzyme to give a ~22nt product. The record is from Rfam by way of RNAcentral. Lineage: Eukaryota; Viridiplantae; Streptophyta; Magnoliopsida; Malpighiales; Euphorbiaceae.
UUUGAGGGGAAUGUUGUCUGGCUCGAGGCCACUAACUAGAUCUAUGAUUUUAUCUCUGAAAUCAUUAAUUUAAUUCAUUUUCGUUGUUGAGAUAUGAUUUAUCAUGAGUUAGUGACGUCGGACCAGGCUUCAUUCCCCCCAAU